Molecule: long non-coding RNA, 219 nt
Filed under: Homo sapiens (human)
Lineage: Eukaryota; Metazoa; Chordata; Mammalia; Primates; Hominidae
Description: HSALNT0052182
Source: RNAcentral
CAAAUUUUUAUUAUUAGCUGGCUAUGAAGGAAAGAAAUGCACUUAAUUGGCAUAAAGAAGGUUGGACUGUCUGAAAAUACUCUUUUCUGGGAGUAUGUUCGUAGACAACUGAAAUAAACUGCAACUCACUGGUGCCAAAUAUAUCACACAUCAGCCCACCUCCUGCCACGGGGUUCAGAAAGGGGCUUCCCUGCUGAGGAGCCAUGCUCUUUCCACGAU